UACAGAGGGUGCGAGCGUUGUCCGGAAUCACUGGGCGUAAAGGGCGCGUAGGUGGCGACCCAAGUCCAUGGUGAAAGCUCGAUGCUCAACAUCGAGUCGGCCACGGAUACUGGGUUGCUGGAGCACUGUAGAGGCAGAUGGAAUUCCGGGUGUAGCGGUGGAAUGCGUAGAGAUCCGGAAGAAUACCCGUGGCGAAGGCGGCCGACUGGGCCGGAUCCGACGCUGAUGCGCGAAAGCGUGGGGAGCAAACAGG
This 253-nucleotide ribosomal RNA is filed under the name uncultured bacterium. Its description in RNAcentral is "partial 16S ribosomal RNA". It matches the Rfam family "Bacterial small subunit ribosomal RNA", at positions 524 to 776 of the family's 1533-position model. The record is from RNAcentral.